AUGACCUCAGCCGCAGGUUUGGCGGAGCUGGCCGCCAGGAAGUACAAGCAGGCUGCCAAGUGCCUCCUGCUGGCUUCCUUUGAUCACUGCGACUUCCCUGAGCUGCUGUCCCCCAGCAAUGUGGCCAUCUACGGUGGCCUGUGCGCCUUGGCUACCUUUGACCGGCAGGAGCUGCAGCGCAAUGUCAUCUCCAGUAGCUCCUUCAAGUUGUUCUUGGAGCUGGAGCCGCAGGUCCGAGACAUCAUCUUCAAAUUCUACGAGUCCAAGUACGCCUCAUGCCUCAAGAUGCUGGACGAGAUGAAGGACAACCUGCUCCUGGACAUGUAUUUGGCUCCCCACGUCAGGACCCUGUACACCCAGAUUCGCAACUGUGCCCUCAUCCAGUAUUUCAGCCCCUACGUGUCGGCCGACAUGCAUAGGAUGGCGGCGGCUUUCAACACCACAGUGGCUGCCCUGGAGGACGAGCUGACGCAGCUAAUCCUGGAGGGGCUGAUCAGUGCCCGCGUGGACUCGCACAGCAAGAUCCUCUACGCCCGGGACGUGGACCAGCGCAGCACCACCUUUGAGAAGUCCCUGCUGAUGGGUAAGGAGUUCCAGCGCCGCGCCAAGGCCAUGAUGCUACGGGCAGCUGUGCUCCGCAACCAGAUCCACGUCAAGUCUCCACCCAGAGAAGGGAGCCAGGGGGAGCUGACUCCAGCCAACAGCCAGUCUCGGAUGAGCACCAACAUGUGAGGGGUGGACCUUGGCCUCCAGGACAUCUGCACCCCCUCCCCAUCUCCACGGACCUCCUGACCUCCAGGCGGCUCAGUGCUGCCUGCAACCCGGCUAAGAGGCCUGGCCACUGGGUGCCCCAGCCUGCAUGCCCUUGCUGGGGCUGGGGAGGCAGGCGGCUGCUAGUUGUGGCCCUUCUGGAAGGAGGACUGCAGGGCUCGACCCUGUGGGUUUCCGUCCCCAGGGAGCAGACUGCGGCACCCAGGCCCAGCCGCACCAGUUCCCAGACCCCUCCCGUUCCCGCCUCUGUCAGGUGCAGACAAGUGGGCGGUACCCAUUAAAGAGCAGACUGAGCAUUAAAAAA
RNA transcript from Rhinopithecus roxellana (golden snub-nosed monkey), 1075 nucleotides. It is a transcript of the gene named COP9 signalosome complex subunit 1 pseudogene, with no coding region annotated. The transcript is spliced from 2 exons. The record is from RefSeq and is a predicted model, not a curated record. NCBI's taxonomy places the organism in Eukaryota, Metazoa, Chordata, Mammalia, Primates, Cercopithecidae.